Ictalurus punctatus (channel catfish) is the source of this 2388-nucleotide RNA transcript. RefSeq lists it as uncharacterized. Lineage: Eukaryota; Metazoa; Chordata; Actinopteri; Siluriformes; Ictaluridae. The transcript is spliced from 4 exons. The record is from RefSeq and is a predicted model, not a curated record.
AUGCAAAAUGGUAUGAGGUAAUAUCCCAUUUUUCUUUGCCCAGGAGUGUACGGCUGUAGACAGUUUAUUAUGAUUUGCAGCAGAAUAUCUGAUACGAACAUGGGACUGCAGAGUGACUGCACUUAUUUUUAAUCCGGGUGAACACUGUGUGAUUUUUAAUAGUCCUUUGUGACUGCUGCUUGUCAGACUGUACGAACACGAUCCCCGCUGCACUGUGAGCCAUGUCACACUGUAGGAUCUCAGUUCUCAUUAAUGUCAGACUGUACAAGACGUGAAAAACCGACGCACACAAUAAGAAUCGUACGGAGUAGGAGACGUCACACUACAGGACUGUGCCUCAAAUCUUCUCACACUGCCAGAAUUUAAUCAGAGGUAAAAUCUGAUCACAACGGUCAUUAAUCUGCUGUUGGGGAACACGUCAAACUACAGAUCAAAGACUACAGAUUUUGGCCCAGGAUUAUAGGAAUCUUUUAGGAUUCUCAAAAUUAGUUUCAGACAUUUAUUAAUUUAUUCAUCAGACGACUAAAUCGUGGUCAAAAUCGUACAGUGUGAACCGGCUUAAGUAUUUAUACUCAGCCGUUGUUUAUAAAUCCAAACAUUUCUGCAUAUUGCAGCUAAAUAUCAGUUAAAACAAUAUGAUUUAAUAUUUAUUCUGCUAGCAUGGAUCUGUCCCUCUUCUGACAUACGCUCAGGGUCUUAUUGUGGUAAAAUGUUUUUCCUUCAGCCUGCUAGGAUGUUCAUGUUAGCAUUGUUGGUGGAUCGUGUAAAGAAAAUAAACUGAUAAAAUGAUGAAUGUGCUCGGAUCUGUACGCACCGUCUAAGAAGAACACCGGUGAUGUGAGCAGAUUAUUGGACUGACAAAAUACAGAACUGGAUGUAGGACCGUGUGGCUAAAACCAGAUGUGAAACAGCAGCACUUGUCCUCAGAACGCUGGAGGGAGUGUGUGAGAAAUGGCCAAACUCCUGUCUACAUUUCUUCUACAGAUGCUGUUUGGUUUCUUUACACCGUGUCUCCUUGAGAUCGCUUCAACUGAUCAUUUAUCUGUCCCUCCUGGAGAGAACAUCACCCUGCUCUGUAACAUCACUAAUUAUUCUGAGAUAUCGUGGUAUCGACUGAGAUCUGAGGAGGUGAAGCUGCUGAUAUCUGCUGAAAAAUUUAAGCUGAAGAAAACCUUUUCCCUCAGUUAUAAUGUGAACGAGAGUCACUUUGAUAUGACAGAAAGCAGCAGUUCAGUCAGUUUAGUGAUUAUUGGAGUUAGAGAGACAGAUCUGGGAUUUUAUUUCUGUGGAGGUCGAAACAAUGCAACACACAUUCAGUUUGGGAAACUCAUCAGACUGGACUUUACAGCUGAUCAGCAUCAUGAGACUGAUCGUUCAGACACACAGCAGUCUGUAGGUCCUGCACUCUGUGGAAUUAUUAUUAUAAUCCUAUCAUGUGUGUGUGCGGUCUUUGUUUCAAUAAGCAUCAUCUGCUCCUCUCUGUACUGUUCCACGCUACAAGGUGAGAACUUACAGCCUGAAGACCAACAUUUACACCGUUCACCCUGUCACACACACUUCCCUUUAUUUAUGACACUUCCUGUUGUUCCAGGCUGUGCAGCAGCCCUUAUACACUAGUGCAGAAUGAAUGUGUAAUGAAAACGUUAGUGACUGUAAAAAGCUGUGUAGUGAAAUCUGUGUGUUUGACAUUUUUGAGAUUGUCGUCUUUGUCUAUGUUAAAUUCUCUUAUUUUUCAGAUAAGUGUUCUUCCACUGGGGACUCAAACGAGAAGGAAGUGGACCUGCACCUGUCUGAUUUGACCUCUGUGACCUACACAAGUGUCUCCUGACGGCUCAGAAAACAUCAGCAUCAUGAGGAUCAGAAUCAGCAGAGAACCUGCUACGAUCCCAUCGACCUCGCACACAUCAAGUACUCACUAAUAAUCCGUGUGGUCUGAAGAUUAAUGACUUCCUGUUCCGCCCCCAAAAGCAUGUUAUCUGGGUGAUUCCCCAACUGUGCCGUCAUUCAGCUCUCGUAACUAUUAAACUUCAAUUUUUAAAUAAUUGUUCAACAAUGAAUCGAGGAAAACGUUCAUUUAACUAUUCAAAAAAGCCUUAACUUCAAACAACAGCAAUAACAAAAUAUUUACAAGGAUUCUUUGGUACAUUUUGCUCUUAAAAGAGUUCCAAGGUUAAAAGUAGUGAUGUUAAAGCUUCAUGAAGAGUUGAAGCAUUAAAGCCAGAUGUGUUGAAGAUGUUUGUUUCUUUGGGCUAUAAGUGCACACUAGAGCUCUAGUGGUUAAAAGACUUUAGUCCUGUGUAACAUGUAACACUGCACUGUGUGUACAGGCCAAUACGAAGUACAUGACUGAUAUAAUCAAUAUCAAAUAAAUGAAUUCCUGAAGGUGAA